GAGGAUUAUAGCAUAUAUAAAUAGCCGCUAACUAAUUUAUAAGGCAGUUAAAUUCUGUCUAAUCCUCU
RNAcentral lists this transfer RNA (68 nucleotides) under Eumenotes sp. HEM140. Its description in RNAcentral is "tRNA-Ser". The record is from RNAcentral. Lineage: Eukaryota; Metazoa; Arthropoda; Insecta; Hemiptera; Dinidoridae.